UGGUGGAGUGAUUUGUCUGGUUAAUUCCGUUAACGAACGAGACCUCGACCUGCUAAAUAGUUCGUUCAACAGCUUUUGUUUCUGUUGUUCGCGACUUCUUAGAGGGACUAUGGGUGUUGUAGCCCAUGGAAGUUCGAGGCAAUAACA
This 147-nucleotide ribosomal RNA is filed under the name uncultured eukaryote. Its description in RNAcentral is "partial 18S ribosomal RNA". It matches the Rfam family "Eukaryotic small subunit ribosomal RNA", at positions 1299 to 1458 of the family's 1831-position model. The record is from RNAcentral.